CCGUGCUUGUCCGGGUUUCGCGACGCUCGAACGCCGUUUUACAGUCCGUUCGUUGUCGACGAAACCUGCAUAUCGCACGG
This 80-nucleotide microRNA precursor is filed under the name Daphnia magna. RNAcentral's name for it is "mir-981 microRNA precursor family". It matches the Rfam family "mir-981 microRNA precursor family". The record is from Rfam by way of RNAcentral. Lineage: Eukaryota; Metazoa; Arthropoda; Branchiopoda; Diplostraca; Daphniidae.